This 408-nucleotide ribosomal RNA is filed under the name uncultured bacterium. RNAcentral describes it as "partial 16S ribosomal RNA". It matches the Rfam family "Bacterial small subunit ribosomal RNA", at positions 28 to 526 of the family's 1533-position model. The record is from RNAcentral.
GACGAACGCUGGCGGCGUGCUUAACACAUGCAAGUCGAACGAAGUGGCGAACGGGUGAGUAACGCGUAAGCAACCUGCCCUUCAGAGGGGGACAACAGUUGGAAACGACUGCUAAUACCGCAUACUGAAGGAGGGGAUUGCGUGUGAUUAGCUAGUGGGAGGGGUAACGUCCCCCCAAGGCGAUGAGCAGGAGCCGGUCUGAGAGGAGUACCGGCCACAUUGGGACUGAUACACGGCCCAGACUCCUACGGGAGGCAGCAGUGGGGAAUCGUCCGCAAUUGACGAAAGUCUGACGGAGCAACGCCGCGUGAGUGAUGACGGCCUUCGGGUUGUAAAGCUCUGUGAAUCGGGACGCGGUACCGGAAUAGAAAGCCACGGCUAACUACGUGCCAGCCGCCGCGGUAAUAC